This 236-nucleotide ribosomal RNA is filed under the name uncultured bacterium. RNAcentral's name for it is "partial small subunit ribosomal RNA". It matches the Rfam family "Bacterial small subunit ribosomal RNA", at positions 26 to 288 of the family's 1533-position model. The record is from RNAcentral.
AGAGCGAACGCUGGCGGCAGGCCUAACACAUGCAAGUCGAGCGGCCGUAGCAAUACGGCAGCGGCAGACGGGAUAGUAACACGUGGGAACGCGCCCUUCGGUUCGGAAUAACUCAGGGAAACUUGAGCUAAUACCGGAUACGCCCUUACGGGGAAAGAUUUAUUGCCGAAGGAACGGCCCGCGUCCGAUUAGCUAGUUGGGGGGGUAAUGGCCCACCAAGGCGACGACGGGUAGCU